AUGACGAAGACGAUGCCGCGUGACUCUUCAGCGAGUGGAGCGUUGGUGCCGAGUGACUCGGCGGCGAUGGCGGCUGCGGCGGCGACGGCGGCGGCAGGGAAGCUCCCGUUCCCGCUGCUCACGAGGACGAACUACGCGGCGUGGGCGAUGAGGAUGAAGUACCUCUUGCGCGCCAAUGGCGCGUGGGGGGCCGUUGAUUGCGAGGCGUCGGCCUCGGAGGUCGACAAGGGCAACGCGGAGAUGGCCAUGACGAUCAUCUCCCAGUCGAUCGACGACACGACGCUGCUGCGCGUUGCGGAGAAGGAGACCGCCGCCGAUGUGUGGGCGGCGCUACGCUCCAUGCAUGUGGGCGUCGAGCGCGUCCGAGAGGCGAGGGUUCAAUCAUUGCGCUCGGAAUUUGAUGGCCUCAAGAUGGGUGAUGCGGAGUCCGUGGAUGAUUUCGCGGCGAGGUUCACGACCCUCGUGGGGCGCAUCCGUGAGCUUGGUGAUGCGAUGGAGGAGAAGUACGUCGUGAAGAAGCUGCUCCGAGCCGUCUUCAACAAGUUCAUCCACGUCGCUUCAUCGAUUGCAUUGUUCGGCGACACCAACAAGAUGGCCAUGGAGGAGGCCAUUGGUUCAGUCAAGGCGCACGAGGAGCUCGUCAAGGGACGGGAGACGGCACGGUCAAGAAGAGCAGCUCCUCAUGGUGAGAGGGCAUGA
RNAcentral lists this ribosomal RNA (699 nucleotides) under Triticum aestivum (bread wheat). RNAcentral's name for it is "partial small subunit ribosomal RNA". Lineage: Eukaryota; Viridiplantae; Streptophyta; Magnoliopsida; Poales; Poaceae. The record is from RNAcentral.